Molecule: ribosomal RNA, 330 nt
Filed under: Triticum aestivum (bread wheat)
Lineage: Eukaryota; Viridiplantae; Streptophyta; Magnoliopsida; Poales; Poaceae
Description: partial small subunit ribosomal RNA
Source: RNAcentral
AUGAUUGUGAAGGUAAUAAAUGGCAGAUGGGAAGUGAUCUACUUUGUUAGCGAGCACAACCAUCCGUUGGUUGACAAGCCAUGUUUGACUAAGUAUUUGCGAUCACACCAAGGGAUACCGCCAGAAGAAAGGGCCUUCCUUACUCAUCUUCAUAACUGCAAUAUAACUACAGGUCGUAUGAUGCACAUCAUGUCAGAUUUCUAUGGGACAGAACUCAUUGUACCUUAUGGCACUAAGCACAUUACAAACCUCAAGACGCUCUUGAACAAGGAUGAUACAAAAGAAGGGGAUAUGAUAGAGACAGUUGCUUACUUUAAAGAUCAGCAGUGA